Molecule: ribosomal RNA, 2407 nt
Filed under: bovine gut metagenome
Description: Bacterial large subunit ribosomal RNA
Rfam family: Bacterial large subunit ribosomal RNA
Source: RNAcentral
GUCAAGUGAUUAAGGGCAUAAGGCGGAUGCCUUGGCACUGGGAGCCGAUGAAGGUCGUGAUAAGCUGCGAAAAGCUGCGGGUAGGAGCAAAUAUCCAUUGAACCGCGGAUCACCGAAUGGGGCAACCCGGCUGGAGCAAUGUCCAGUCAUUCCUGUGCGAAUCCAUAACACAGGUAAAGGAAACCCGGGGAACUGAAACAUCUAAGUACCCGGAGGAAGAGAAAGAAACCUCGAUUCCCAAAGUAGCGGCGAGCGAAAUGGGAAGAGCCCAAACCGAAGACUUGUCUUCGGGGUUGUGGACACCAAUAAGACGAAGAAUACAUAGCGGAAGCGCUCUGGAAAGUGCAACCGCAGAGGGUAACAGUCCCGUACGCGAAAUGUAAUCUAGUUGUGGUGUAUCCAGAGUAGCACCGGACACGUGAAACCCGGUGUGAAGCAGGAGGGACCACCCUCCAAGGCUAAAUACUACCCAGUGACCGAUAGCGUAUAGUACCGUGAGGGAAAGGUGAAAAGAACCCCGGGAGGGGAGUGAAAUAGAAUCUGAAACCUUAUGCUUACAAGCAACGGGAGCGCAAGUGACCGUGUACUUUUUGUAGAACGGGCCAACGAGUUAUGGUAUGCAGCGAGGUUAAGGUGUUCAGCACCGGAGCCGAAGGGAAACCAAGUGUUAACCGCGCGUAUAGUUGUAUGCUGUAGACCCGAAACCGGGUGACCUAUCCAUGUGCAGGUUGAAGUAACCGUAAAAGGUUAUGGAGGACCGAACUUAUAUCUGUUGAAAAAGGUUAGGAUGACGUGUGGAUAGCGGUGAAAUUCCAAUCGAACUCGGAGAUAGCUGGUUCUCCUCGAAAUAGCUUUAGGGCUAGCCUCAAGAUGAGAUACAUGGGGGUAGAGCACUGAAUGUCCGCAGGGCCUUCACCGGUUACUAACGACUAUCAAACUCCGAAUACCAUAGUAUCAUUCUUGGGAGUCAGACUAUGUGUGAUAAGAUUCAUGGUCGAAAGGGAAACAGCCCAGACCGUCAGCUAAGGUCCCAAAAUCUAAGUUAAGUGGAAAAGGAUGUGGAGCUGCAUAGACAACUAGGAUGUUGGCUUAGAAGCAGCCACUCAUUCAAAGAGUGCGUAAUAGCUCACUAGUCGAGUGACUCUGCGCCGAAGAUAAACGGGGCUCAAACUUAGUACCGAAGCUACGGAUACCUUAUGGUAUGGUAGAGGAGCAUUGUAUAUGGGCCGAAGGUGAGCUGUAAGGCUUGCUGGACUGUAUACAAGAGAGAAUGUUGGCAUGAGUAGCGAAAGCAAGGUGAGAAUCCUUGCCGCCGAAUAUCUGAGGUUUCCUGAGGAAGGCUCGUCCUCUCAGGGUUAGUCGGGGCCUAAGCCGAGGCCGAAAGGCGUAGGCGAUGGACAGCUGGUUGAGAUUCCAGCACCACCGAGGUUUGUUUGAGCGAAGUGGGGACGCAGAAGGAUAAGAAGAGCGCGCCGUUGGUCGAGCGCGUCCAAGCAGAAAGGCUUGCAUGUAGGCAAAUCCGCAUGCUUUAAGGCUGAUCUGUGAUGGGGAGGGAACCAAGUACCGAAGCUUCCGAUUUCACACUGCCGAGAAAAGCCACUAGUAAGAACUGAGGUGCCCGUACCGCACACCAACACAGGUAGAUGAGGAGAGAAUCCUAAGGCGAGCGAGAGAACCAUUGUUAAGGAACUCGGCAAAAUAACCCCGUAACUUCGGGAGAAGGGGUGCUCUAGAGAUAGAGCCGCAGUGAAAAGUCCCAGGCGACUGUUUACCAAAAACACAGGUUUCUGCCAAAGCGAAAGCUGAAGUAUAGGAGCUGACGCCUGCCCGGUGCUGGAAGGUUAAGGGGAUGUGUUAGCGCAAAGCCCCAGUAAACGGCGGCCGUAACUAUAACGGUCCUAAGGUAGCGAAAUUCCUUGUCAGGUAAGUUCUGACCCGCACGAAAGGCGUAACGAUCUGGGAACUGUCUCAACAAUGGACUCGGUGAAAUUGUAUUACCGGUAAAGAUGCCGGUUACCCGCAGCAGGACGGAAAGACCCCGUGGAGCUUUACUACAACUUGAUAUUGAAUUUCGGUGUUGCAUGUACAGAAUAGGUGGGAGACUAAGAGACCGGGACGCCAGUUUCGGAGGAGUCACCGUUGGGAUACCACCCUUGUAACAUUGAGGUUCUAACCAGAUACCGUGAUCCGGUAUUGGGACAGUGUCAGGCGGGUAGUUUGACUGGGGCGGUCGCCUCCUAAAGAGUAACGGAGGCGCCCAAAGGUUCCCUCAGUGCGGUUGGAAAUCGCGCGAAGAGUGUAAAGGCAGAAGGGAGCUUGACUGCGAGACAAACAGGUCGAGCAGGGACGAAAGUCGGGCUUAGUGAUCCGGUGGUUCCGAGUGGAAGGGCCAUCGCUCAACGGAUAA